UACGAAGGGGGCUAGCGUUAUCCGGAUUCACUGGGUUUAAAGGGUGCGUAGGCGGGCAUGUAAGUCCGUGGUGAAAUCUCCGAGCUUAACUCGGAAACUGCCAUGGAUACUAUGUGUCUUGAAUGUUGUGGAGGUGAGCGGAAUAUGUCAUGUAGCGGUGAAAUGCUUAGAUAUGACAUAGAACACCAAUUGCGAAGGCAGCUCACUACACAAAUGUUGACGCUGAGGCACGAAAGCGUGGGGAUCAAACAGG
RNAcentral lists this ribosomal RNA (253 nucleotides) under uncultured bacterium. Its description in RNAcentral is "partial 16S ribosomal RNA". It matches the Rfam family "Bacterial small subunit ribosomal RNA", at positions 524 to 776 of the family's 1533-position model. The record is from RNAcentral.